This 930-nucleotide ribosomal RNA is filed under the name uncultured bacterium. Its description in RNAcentral is "bacterial SSU rRNA". It matches the Rfam family "Bacterial small subunit ribosomal RNA", at positions 33 to 968 of the family's 1533-position model. The record is from RNAcentral.
ACGCUGGCGGCGUGCUUAACACAUGCAAGUCGAACGAUGAAGCCUAGCUUGCUAGGUGGAUUAGUGGCGAACGGGUGAGUAAUACGUGAGUAACCUACCUUUAACUCUGGGAUAAGCCUGGGAAACUGGGUCUAAUACCGGAUACGACCAAUCUCCGCAUGGGGUGUUGGUGGAAAGCGUUAUGUAGUGGUUAUAGAUGGGCUCACGGCCUAUCAGCUUGUUGGUGAGGUAACGGCUCACCAAGGCGACGACGGGUAGCCGGCCUGAGAGGGUGACCGGCCACACUGGGACUGAGACACGGCCCAGACUCCUACGGGAGGCAGCAGUGGGGAAUAUUGCACAAUGGGCGCAAGCCUGAUGCAGCGACGCCGCGUGAGGGAUGACGGCCUUCGGGUUGUAAACCUCUGUUAGCAGGGAAGAAGAGAAAUUGACGGUACCUGCAGAGAAAGCGCCGGCUAACUACGUGCCAGCAGCCGCGGUAAUACGUAGGGCGCGAGCGUUGUCCGGAAUUAUUGGGCGUAAAGAGCUUGUAGGCGGUUUGUCGCGUCUGCUGCGAAAGGCCGGGGCUUAACCCCGUGUAUUGCAGUGGGUACGGGCAGACUAGAGUGCAGUAGGGGAGACUGGAACUCCUGGUGUAGCGGUGGAAUGCGCAGAUAUCAGGAAGAACACCGAUGGCGAAGGCAGGUCUCUGGGCUGUAACUGACGCUGAGAAGCGAAAGCAUGGGGAGCGAACAGGAUUAGAUACCCUGGUAGUCCAUGCCGUAAACGUUGGGCACUAGGUGUGGGGGACAUUCCACGUUUUCCGCGCCGUAGCUAACGCAUUAAGUGCCCCGCCUGGGGAGUACGGCCGCAAGGCUAAAACUCAAAGAAAUUGACGGGGGCCCGCACAAGCGGCGGAGCAUGCGGAUUAAUUCGAUGCAACGCGAAGAA